GGACUACUAGGGUUUCUAAUCCUGUUUGCUCCCCACGCUUUCGUGCAUGAGCGUCAGUGUUAUCCCAGGAGGCUGCCUUCGCCAUCGGUGUUCCUCCGCAUAUCUACGCAUUUCACUGCUACACGCGGAAUUCCACCUCCCUCUGACACACUCUAGCCCGGUAGUUAAAAAUGCAGUUCCAAAGUUAAGCUCUGGGAUUUCACAUCUUUCUUUCCGAACCGCCUGCGCACGCUUUACGCCCAGUAAUUCCGAUUAACGCUUGCACCCUACGUAUUACCGCGGCGGCUGGCAC
Molecule: unclassified non-coding RNA, 292 nt
Filed under: uncultured fungus
Lineage: Eukaryota; Fungi
Description: sequence contains ITS1
Source: RNAcentral